RNAcentral lists this non-coding RNA (279 nucleotides) under Maledivibacter halophilus. RNAcentral describes it as "Clostridium halophilum T-box sequence". It matches the Rfam family "T-box leader". Rfam says of the family: Uncharged tRNA acts as the effector for transcription antitermination of genes in the T-box leader family. T-boxes are found upstream of many aminoacyl-tRNA synthetase genes and some amino acid biosynthetic genes usually in Gram-positive bacteria. The anticodon of a specific tRNA base pairs to a specifier sequence within the T-box motif, and the NCCA acceptor tail of the tRNA base pairs to a conserved bulge in the T-box antiterminator hairpin. Lineage: Bacteria; Bacillati; Bacillota; Clostridia; Peptostreptococcales; Caminicellaceae. The record is from RNAcentral.
CCAAAAGCAAUGAAGGAGAGCAUAUUUUAGAAAAGUAGUUUAAGAGAGUCGGUAAUUGCUGAGAGCCGAUACUGCAUCAAAAUAUUACUCACUCCCGAGCUGCAUCUUUGAAAACGUGGAAAUAUGACUUUAAAUAUUUUAUUGUUAUAAUACUACAAGUAGGAGAUAGAUGGUUAGCCCCAUUAUAGGCUAGGGUUCAAUUUACCUCAAAGUGAGUGGUUUUUGCAUUUGCAAAAACAAAUAAGGUGGUACCACGGGGAGCUAUGCCUCGUCCUUAAA